Molecule: ribosomal RNA, 465 nt
Filed under: Vreelandella stevensii
Lineage: Bacteria; Pseudomonadati; Pseudomonadota; Gammaproteobacteria; Oceanospirillales; Halomonadaceae
Description: partial 16S ribosomal RNA
Rfam family: Bacterial small subunit ribosomal RNA
Source: RNAcentral
CCUACGGGGCGCAGCAGUGGGGAAUAUUGGACAAUGGGCGAAAGCCUGAUCCAGCCAUGCCGCGUGUGUGAAGAAGGCCUUCGGGUUGUAAAGCACUUUCAGUGGGGAAGAAAGCCUUGGGGCUAAUACCCUCGAGGAAGGACAUCACCCACAGAAGAAGCACCGGCUAACUCCGUGCCAGCAGCCGCGGUAAUACGGAGGGUGCGAGCGUUAAUCGGAAUUACUGGGCGUAAAGCGCGCGUAGGCGGUCUGAUAAGCCGGUUGUGAAAGCCCCGGGCUCAACCUGGGAACGGCAUCCGGAACUGUCAGGCUAGAGUGCAGGAGAGGAAGGUAGAAUUCCCGGUGUAGCGGUGAAAUGCGUAGAGAUCGGGAGGAAUACCAGUGGCGAAGGCGGCCUUCUGGACUGACACUGACGCUGAGGUGCGAAAGCGUGGGUAACAAACAGGAUUAGAUACCCGUGUAGUC